RNAcentral lists this ribosomal RNA (450 nucleotides) under uncultured bacterium. RNAcentral's name for it is "bacterial SSU rRNA". It matches the Rfam family "Bacterial small subunit ribosomal RNA", at positions 354 to 796 of the family's 1533-position model. The record is from RNAcentral.
GUGGGGAAUAUUGGACAAUGGGCGCAAGCCUGAUCCAGCAAUGCCGCGUGGGUGAAGACGGCCUGCGGGUUGUAAAGCCCUUUAGGCGGGGAGGAACGGUCGGGUGCCAAUACCACCCGGCGCUGACGUUACCCGCAGAAUAAGCACCGGCUAACUCCGUGCCAGCAGCCGCGGUAAUACGGAGGGUGCGAGCGUUAAUCGGAAUUACUGGGCGUAAAGCGUGCGUAGGCGGUAGCGUCAGUCAGCCGUGAAAGCCCCGGGCUUAACCUGGGAACGGCGGUUGAGACGGCGCAACUCGAGUGGGCUAGAGGAUCGUGGAAUUCCGGGUGUAGCGGUGAAAUGCGUAGAGAUCCGGAGGAACACCGAUGGCGAAGGCAGCGGUCUGGGGCCACACUGACGCUGAGGCACGACAGCGUGGGGAGCAAACAGGAUUAGAUACCCCAGUAGUCC